UACGAAGGGUGCAAGCGUUAAUCGGAAUUACUGGGCGUAAAGCGCGCGUAGGUGGUUCAGUAAGUUGGAAGUGAAAUCCCCGGACUCAACCUGGGAACUGCUUUCAAAACUGCUGAGCUAGAGUACGGUAGAGGGUGGUGGAAUUUCCUGUGUAGCGGUGAAAUGCGUAGAUAUAGGAAGGAACACCAGUGGCGAAGGCGACCACCUGGACUGAUACUGACACUGAGGUGCGAAAGCGUGGGGAGCAAACAGG
This 253-nucleotide ribosomal RNA is filed under the name uncultured bacterium. Its description in RNAcentral is "partial 16S ribosomal RNA". It matches the Rfam family "Bacterial small subunit ribosomal RNA", at positions 524 to 776 of the family's 1533-position model. The record is from RNAcentral.